This 253-nucleotide ribosomal RNA is filed under the name uncultured bacterium. RNAcentral describes it as "partial 16S ribosomal RNA". It matches the Rfam family "Bacterial small subunit ribosomal RNA", at positions 524 to 776 of the family's 1533-position model. The record is from RNAcentral.
UACAGAGGGUGCAAGCGUUAAUCGGAAUUACUGGGCGUAAAGCGCGCGUAGGCGGUGAUCUUUGUCAGAGGUGAAAGCCCGGGGCUCAACUCCGGAAUUGCCUUUGAAACGGGAUUGCUUGAGUCCGAGAGAGGAUGGCGGAAUUCCUAGUGUAGAGGUGAAAUUCGUAGAUAUUAGGAAGAACACCGGUGGCGAAGGCGGCCAUCUGGCUCGGUACUGACGCUCAGGCGCGAAAGCGUGGGGAGCAAACAGG